AAACAAAUUCAUGAGUAAAAGAAGCAGCAUCACUCCUCCCAUUAAAAAUGACAAAAAGGUGUUGGAAUUGACCCCUCAACCUCCUGAUCCAGAGGCAAAAGAGCUACCAUUGAGCCACAGUUGAUACGAAAGGAAGCAGCAGGUUCUUUUAAAAGCAAAUGAGUGUCUUAUGUCCCCCGUGGAUAUUUUUACAUGGGAAGAUCUUGUGGCGCAUUGGAUACCAUCCCUGACUCUGAGCCAGAAGCUUCAGGUUCACGUCCCGCUCCAGGACUUGAUGGCCACUGAAGAGGAAAAGGACUGUUUUCAGGUUAACCUGCUGGUGUGGACAGAACUCCUGCUUGAAGAAACAAAGCUUGUGGAGAGUAAAGGACUAAGGAACUUCCAGAGGGUGCUUUUCCCAGGGAAGUCCAUUCAAUUAUGUUCUGAAGAUUGGGUGUUCUUUUGUAAGGACGCUGAAUGAUUCAUCCUGGUAGGGCAGGGAGAAGAGACCCUGUUAAAGCCAAGAGGUGCUUGGAACUUUAAACAAUCUCAACGUCUGGAAUUUCUGUGCAUGGGCUGGAGCUAGGGCAGCAUACAAAGGUAGAGCCUGAAGGGGGAAGAGUAAGAUGAACAGUCUGAAGGAGAAAAGUAGGAGGGCAUAUUCUGAAGGCAGCAGAAUAAGAGGGUACGGUAUGGCAUGGAGUUUUUGAUGGUGUUAAGAUGUUAAUGGGGAGUACUUUUCUGUGGUUAAGUGCAUUAGUUGCCUACCAAGUAAUGUUUAG
This is a long non-coding RNA of Carcharodon carcharias (great white shark), 761 nucleotides long. RefSeq lists it as uncharacterized. The record is from RefSeq and is a predicted model, not a curated record. The transcript has 3 exons. NCBI's taxonomy places the organism in Eukaryota, Metazoa, Chordata, Chondrichthyes, Lamniformes, Lamnidae.